AAACUUACUUGGCUGGGGGUGCGGCACGAUCAAGAAGGUGCCGACUCCACAGUGAGACCCUCCCAUUGCACUUUGGGGACGGUUGACCUGUGUGACAGCUCCGAGUCGGGGUUCGUCAACAGCUAAAUUUUUGCGUUUGAGGUCUUCGGGCCUCGAU
This 157-nucleotide small nuclear RNA is filed under the name Bursaphelenchus xylophilus (pine wood nematode). RNAcentral describes it as "U1 spliceosomal RNA". It matches the Rfam family "U1 spliceosomal RNA". Rfam says of the family: U1 is a small nuclear RNA (snRNA) component of the spliceosome (involved in pre-mRNA splicing). Its 5' end forms complementary base pairs with the 5' splice junction, thus defining the 5' donor site of an intron. There are significant differences in sequence and secondary structure between metazoan and yeast U1 snRNAs, the latter being much longer (568 nucleotides as compared to 164 nucleotides in human). The record is from Rfam by way of RNAcentral. Lineage: Eukaryota; Metazoa; Nematoda; Chromadorea; Rhabditida; Aphelenchoididae.